RNAcentral lists this ribosomal RNA (449 nucleotides) under uncultured bacterium. Its description in RNAcentral is "partial 16S ribosomal RNA". It matches the Rfam family "Bacterial small subunit ribosomal RNA", at positions 29 to 523 of the family's 1533-position model. The record is from RNAcentral.
AAUGAACGCUGGCGGCAGGCCUAACACAUGCAAGUCGAACGGAUCCUUCGGGAUUAGUGGCGGACGGGUGAGUAACGCGUGGGAACAUACCCUUUGGUACGGAAUAGCCUCGGGAAACUGGGAGUAAUACCGUAUGUGGUCGAGAGACGAAAGACUUAUCGCCAAAGGAUUGGCCCGCGUUGGAUUAGGUAGUUGGUGGGGUAAUGGCCUACCAAGCCGACGAUCCAUAGCUGGUUUGAGAGGAUGAUCAGCCACACUGGGACUGAGACACGGCCCAGACUCCUACGGGAGGCAGCAGUGGGGAAGCUUAGACAAUGGGGGAAACCCUGAUCUAGCCAUGCCGCGUGAUCGAUGAAGGCCUUAGGGUUGUAAAGAUCUUUCAGGUGGGAAGAUAAUGACUGUACCACCAGAAGAAGCCCCGGCUAACUCCGUGCCAGCCGCCGCGGUAA